UUGGUGCCUGUAUCUCUCCCCCUCCCCUCCCCGACCUAUUGCUUGUAGGUCUUGCCUUGCGGACUUGCACCAAUAUUUAUGCCCAAAAACUAGAAUGCCUUUUGAAGACCUCAUACCUUGAGCCUCCCUUUCAUCCCCCCUCUUCUACUGCACUUACCAGAUCUUUAUUGCGUUUCCGUUUCCCAACUAUCUCUAUAUCUCCCCAUUGUUUCCUCCCUCCCGAAAAGCUCUUAGCCAUCCUAUUCAGAACAAUCUCUUUUUUUGGCGUGAUUUGUACCCAGUUCCUA
RNAcentral lists this long non-coding RNA (287 nucleotides) under Elaeis guineensis (African oil palm). RNAcentral's name for it is "long non-coding RNA (EGUI_LNC030317)". Lineage: Eukaryota; Viridiplantae; Streptophyta; Magnoliopsida; Arecales; Arecaceae. The record is from RNAcentral.